UGGGGAAUAUUGCGCAAUGGGGGAAACCCUGACGCAGCAACGCCGCGUGAGUGAUGAAGGCUUUCGAGUCGUAAAACUCUGUCUUCGGGGACGAUAAUGACGGUACCCGAGGAGGAAGCCCCGGCUAACUACGUGCCAGCAGCCGCGGUAAUACGUAGGGGGCAAGCGUUGUCCGGAAUCACUGGGCGUAAAGGGCGCGUAGGCGGUUUGUUAAGUCAGGUGUGAAAGUUUUCAGCUUAACUGGAAAAGUGCACUUGAAACUAACUUACUUGAGUACUGGAGAGGUAAGCGGAAUUCCUAGUGUAGCGGUGAAAUGCGUAGAUAUUAGGAAGAACACCGGUGGCGAAGGCGGCUUACUGGACAGAGACUGACGCUGAGGCGCGAAAGCGUGGGGAUCAAACA
This 402-nucleotide ribosomal RNA is filed under the name uncultured prokaryote. Its description in RNAcentral is "bacterial SSU rRNA". It matches the Rfam family "Bacterial small subunit ribosomal RNA", at positions 355 to 774 of the family's 1533-position model. The record is from RNAcentral.